CACAACUAUCCACAGCAGAGGAGGCGGGACUAAUUUUAAUGUGUGGGCCAAACGGUUAAGAUUGUACACUUGGAAUGAAUGGGCUUCUGUUGGUGUCACAAUGAUCAAAAGUUUUCUGGACAAUAUAAUUUCUUGAUCAAGUGACUCGUUAACAAAGGCUUUGACAACAAUAUCAUCUUUCACUUCAUCGUAUACUAAGUUAGGCUCAG
This 209-nucleotide unclassified non-coding RNA is filed under the name Hevea brasiliensis (rubber tree). The record is from RNAcentral. Lineage: Eukaryota; Viridiplantae; Streptophyta; Magnoliopsida; Malpighiales; Euphorbiaceae.